UCUCGGCUUAUGAGACCCCCAUAAAAGGGUGUUGGUUUGAUAUUGGACAGCAGGACCGGGGGCCAUGGAAGUCGGUACCCCGCUAAGGAGUGUGUAACAACUCACCUGCCGAAUCAACUAGCCCUGAAAAUGGAUGGGCGCUUAAGCGAGAGACCUAUACUCCGCCGUCGCGGCAUGUGCGUUGUCUAGCGCCAGGUCGCGACGAGUAGGAAGGACGUGGCGGUUGCGUUGAAGGCUAUGAGCGUAGGCUCGGCUGGAGCUUCCGUCAGUGCAGAUCGUAAUGGUAGUAGCAAAUAUUCAAGUUCGAUCCUUGAAGACUGAAGUGGAGAAGGGUUCCACGUGAACAGUAGUUGGAUGUGGGUCAGUCGAUCCUAAGGUACUGGCGAAAGCCUUGUAUCAUCGGUGGCGAAAAGCUUGCUUUUUGUCCCCGCCCGUCGAAAGGGAAUAGGGUUAAUAUUCCCUAACUGAGAUGCAAAGAUUGUGUUCUUCGGAGCACAAGCGCGGUAACGCGUUCGAACUUGGUAAGUCGCUCAGAGACCGAGCUAGAGUUUUCUUCUCUAGUUAAGGAACGGACUCCCUGGAAUUGGUUCAGCCAGAGAUGGGGACGUUGUUUCCGAAAAGCACCGCGGUUUCUGUGGUGUCUCGUGCUCUCUGAACGGCCCUUUAAACACCAAGGGAGGCUAUUAAUUUGCACUCAAUCGUACCGAUAUCCGCAUUAGGUCUCCAAGGUGAACAGCCUCUAGUCGAUAGAAUAAUGUAGGUAAGGGAAGUCGGCAAAUAGAUCCGUAACUUCGGGAAAAGGAUUGGCUCCAGUGGUCGGAACGGUUGGCCAGUUGGUUGAUGCUUGUCCGGCGCUGUUCUGUCUGCUUGAUGCUUUCGGGCUGAUGGCGGCCUAGUGAUAGUGCUUGCUUGUUGACGCUUUCUGGUGUGUGCUUUGACCUCGGUCUUAGUAUCCUGAUCGUUCAUCUAAAACGACUAAACUGGAACCGGUACGGACUCAGGGAAUCCCGACUGUCUAAUUAAAACAGAGGUGACAGAUGGUCCUUGCGGACGCUGACUGUCACUGAUUUCUGCCCAGUGCUCUGAAUGUUAAAUCGCAGUAAUUCCAGUAAGCGCGGGUAAACGGCGGGAGUAACUAUGACUCUCUUAAGGUAGCCAAAUGCCUCGUCAUUUAAUUGGUUGACGCGCAUGAAUGGGAUUAA
Molecule: non-coding RNA, 1202 nt
Filed under: Caenorhabditis japonica
Lineage: Eukaryota; Metazoa; Nematoda; Chromadorea; Rhabditida; Rhabditidae
Description: Eukaryotic large subunit ribosomal RNA
Rfam family: Eukaryotic large subunit ribosomal RNA
Source: Rfam by way of RNAcentral